GACGAACGCUGGCGGCGUGCUUAACACAUGCAAGUCGAACGGAAAGGCCCUGCUUUUGUGGGGUGCUCGAGUGGCGAACGGGUGAGUAACACGUGAGUAACCUGCCCCUGACUUUGGGAUAACUUCAGGAAACUGGGGCUAAUACCGGAUAGGAGCUCCUGCUGCAUGGUGGGGGUUGGAAAGUUUCGGCGGUUGGGGAUGGACUCGCGGCUUAUCAGCUUGUUGGUGGGGUAGUGGCUUACCAAGGCUUUGACGGGUAGCCGGCCUGAGAGGGUGGCCGGCCACAUUGGGACUGAGAUACGGCCCAGACUCCUACGGGAGGCAGCAGUGGGGAAUAUUGCACAAUGGGCGGAAGCCUGAUGCAGCAACGCCGCGUGCGGGAUGACGGCCUUCGGGUUGUAAACCGCUUUCGCCUGUGACGAAGCGUGAGUGACGGUAAUGGGUAAAGAAGCACCGGCCAACUACGUG
RNAcentral lists this ribosomal RNA (468 nucleotides) under uncultured bacterium. Its description in RNAcentral is "partial 16S ribosomal RNA". It matches the Rfam family "Bacterial small subunit ribosomal RNA", at positions 28 to 507 of the family's 1533-position model. The record is from RNAcentral.